CCUACGGGAGUCUGCAGUGGGGAAUAUUGGACAAUGGGCGAAAGCCUGAUCCAGCCAUGCCGCGUGUGUGAAGAAGGCCUUCGGGUUGUAAAGCACUUUCAGUGGGGAAGAAAGCCUUGGGGCUAAUACCCUCGAGGAAGGACAUCACCCACAGAAGAAGCACCGGCUAACUCCGUGCCAGCAGCCGCGGUAAUACGGAGGGUGCGAGCGUUAAUCGGAAUUACUGGGCGUAAAGCGCGCGUAGGCGGUCUGAUAAGCCGGUUGUGAAAGCCCCGGGCUCAACCUGGGAACGGCAUCCGGAACUGUCAGGCUAGAGUGCAGGAGAGGAAGGUAGAAUUCCCGGUGUAGCGGUGAAAUGCGUAGAGAUCGGGAGGAAUACCAGUGGCGAAGGCGGCCUUCUGGACUGACACUGACGCUGAGGUGCGAAAGCGUGGGUAGCAAACAGGAUUAGAUACCCGAGUAGUC
Molecule: ribosomal RNA, 465 nt
Filed under: Vreelandella stevensii
Lineage: Bacteria; Pseudomonadati; Pseudomonadota; Gammaproteobacteria; Oceanospirillales; Halomonadaceae
Description: partial 16S ribosomal RNA
Rfam family: Bacterial small subunit ribosomal RNA
Source: RNAcentral